AAGUCGUAACAAGGUUUCCGUAGGUGAACCUGCGGAAGGAUCAUUAAAUUCAGUAGCUUGCUACUGUUAAGGAGGGUCUAUUAGUCUGUAUAGUAUCACUACUGAUGAGCAGCACGACCCUCUGUCUAUACCCUUGUCUUUUGCGCACUCAUGUUUCCUCGGCGGCUUGAUACCCGCCGGCUGGAUCAAUCCUAUAACCUUUUUAAUUUUCAAUCAGCGUCUGAAAAACCUAAUAAUUACAACUUUCAACAACGGAUCUCUUGGUUCUG
RNAcentral lists this unclassified non-coding RNA (269 nucleotides) under fungal sp. RNAcentral's name for it is "partial internal transcribed spacer region". The stretch from base 1 to 46 matches the Rfam family "Eukaryotic small subunit ribosomal RNA", at positions 1786 to 1831 of the family's 1831-position model. RNAcentral also lists the same sequence under 1 other name. The record is from RNAcentral. Lineage: Eukaryota; Fungi.